UAGGGAAUCUUCGGCAAUGGACGGAAGUCUGACCGAGCAACGCCGCGUGAGUGAAGAAGGUUUUCGGAUCGUAAAGCUCUGUUGUAAGAGAAGAGCGAGUGUGAGAGUGGAAAGUUCACACUGUGACGGUAUCUUACCAGAAAGGGACGGCUAACUACGUGCCAGCAGCCGCGGUAAUACGUAGGUCCCGAGCGUUAUCCGGAUUUAUUGGGCGUAAAGCGAGCGCAGGCGGUUAGAUAAGUCUGAAGUUAAAGGCUGUGGCUUAACCAUAGUACGCUUUGGAAACUGUUUAACUUGAGUGCAAGAGGGGAGAGUGGAAUUCCAUGUGUAGCGGUGAAAUGCGUAGAUAUAUGGAGGAACACCGGUGGCGAAAGCGGCUCUCUGGCUUGUAACUGACGCUGAGGCUCAAAAGCGUGGGGAGCAAACAGGAUUAGAUACCCUGGUAGUCCACGCCGUAAACGAUGAGUGCUAGGUGUUAGGCCCUUUCCGGGGUUUAGUGCCGUAGCUAACGCAUUAAGCACUCCGCCUGGGGAGUACGACCGCAAGGUUG
RNAcentral lists this ribosomal RNA (550 nucleotides) under uncultured bacterium. Its description in RNAcentral is "bacterial SSU rRNA". It matches the Rfam family "Bacterial small subunit ribosomal RNA", at positions 355 to 896 of the family's 1533-position model. The record is from RNAcentral.